GUUGUAUGGUUAAGUGACUAAGCGUACACGGUGGAUGCCUUGGCAGUCAGAGGCGAUGAAAGACGUAGUAACUUGCGAUAAGCCCAGAUUAGGUAGUAACAACCAUUUGAGUCUGGGAUUUCUGAAUGGGGAAACCCACGUGCAUAAGCACGUAUCCUUACCUGAAUACAUAGGGUAAGGAGGCGAACCGGGGGAACUGAAACAUCUAAGUACCCYGAGGAAAAGAAAUCAACCGAGAUUCCGAAAGUAGCGGCGAGCGAAAUUGGACUAGCCCUUAAGCUUUACACGCGUUAGACGAACGGUCUGGAAAGUCCGACGAUACAGGGUGAUAGUCCCGUAGUUGACGACGUGUGUUCAGUGAAAUCGAGUAGGGCGGGACACGUGAUAUCCUGUCUGAAUAUGGGGGGACCAUCCUCCAAGGCUAAAUACUACUGACUGACCGAUAGUGAACCAGUACCGUGAGGGAAAGGCGAAAAGAACCCCUGUGAGGGGAGUGAAAUAGAACCUGAAACCGUGUACGUACAAGCAGUAGGAGCAGGCUUUGUCCUGUGACUGCGUACCUUUUGUAUAAUGGGUCAGCGACUUAUAUUCAGUGGCAAGGUUAACCAUCUAGGGGAGCCGUAGGGAAACCGAGUCUUAACUGGGCGUUCAGUCUCUGGAUAUAGACCCGAAACCAGGUGAUCUAGCCAUGGGCAGGUUGAAGGUUGAGUAACAUCAACUGGAGGACCGAACCGACUAAUGUUGAAAAAUUAGCGGAUGACUUGUGGCUAGGGGUGAAAGGCCAAUCAAACCUGGAGAUAGCUGGUUCUCCCCGAAAGCUAUUUAGGUAGCGCCUCGGACGAAUACUACUGGGGGUAGAGCACUGUUAAGGCUAGGGGGUCAUCCCGACUUACCAACCCUUUGCAAACUCCGAAUACCAGUAAGUACUAUCCGGGAGACACACGGCGGGUGCUAACGUCCGUCGUGGAGAGGGAAACAACCCAGACCGCCAGCUAAGGUCCCAAAUUACUACUAAGUGGGAAACGAUGUGGGAAGGCUCAGACAGCCAGGAUGUUGGCUUAGAAGCAGCCAUCAUUUAAAGAAAGCGUAAUAGCUCACUGGUCGAGUCGGCCUGCGCGGAAGAUGUAACGGGGCUAAGUAGUAAACCGAAGCUGCGGCAAUGUGCUUUUGCACAUUGGGUAGGGGAGCGUUCUGUAAGCGGUUGAAGGUGUGUGGUAACGCAUGCUGGACGUAUCAGAAGUGCGAAUGCUGACAUGAGUAACGAUAAAGGGGGUGAAAAACCUCCUCGCCGGAAGACCAAGGGUUCCUGUCCAACGUUAAUCGGGGCAGGGUAAGUCGACCCCUAAGGCGAGGCCGAAAGGCGUAGUCGAUGGGAAACGGGUUAAUAUUCCCGUACUUCUUACAAUUGCGAUGGGGGGACGGAGAAGGCUAGGUGGGCCUGGCGACGGUUGUCCAGGUUCAAGUGCGUAGGCUUAAGAGUUAGGUAAAUCCGGCUCUUUUUAAGGCUGAGACACGACGUCGAGCACCUACGGGUGUGAAGUCAUUGAUGCCAUGCUUCCAGGAAAAGCCUCUAAGCUUCAGAUUGUAAGGAAUCGUACCCCAAACCGACACAGGUGGUCGGGUAGAGAAUACCAAGGCGCUUGAGAGAACUCGGGUGAAGGAACUAGGCAAAAUGGUACCGUAACUUCGGGAGAAGGUACGCUCUUGAUGGUGAAGUCCCUUGCGGAUGGAGCUGACGAGAGUCGCAGAUACCAGGUGGCUGCAACUGUUUAUUAAAAACACAGCACUGUGCAAAAUCGUAAGAUGACGUAUACGGUGUGACGCCUGCCCGGUGCCGGAAGGUUAAUUGAUGGGGUUAGACUUCGGUCGAAGCUCUUGAUCGAAGCCCCGGUAAACGGCGGCCGUAACUAUAACGGUCCUAAGGUAGCGAAAUUCCUUGUCGGGUAAGUUCCGACCUGCACGAAUGGCGUAAUGAUGGCCACGCUGUCUCCACCCGAGACUCAGUGAAAUUGAAAUCGCUGUGAAGAUGCAGUGUACCCGCGGCUAGACGGAAAGACCCCGUGAACCUUUACUACAGCUUGGCACUGAACAUUGACCCUACAUGUGUAGGAUAGGUGGGAGGCUUUGAAGCACGUACGCCAGUAUGUGUGGAGCCGUCCUUGAAAUACCACCCUUGUAGUGUUGAUGUUCUAACGUCGACCCCUAAUCGGGGUUGCGGACAGUGCCUGGUGGGUAGUUUGACUGGGGCGGUCUCCUCCCAAAGAGUAACGGAGGAGCACGAAGGUGGGCUAAUCACGGUUGGACAUCGUGAGGUUAGUGCAAUGGCAUAAGCCCGCUUGACUGCGAGAAUGACAAUUCGAGCAGGUGCGAAAGCAGGUCAUAGUGAUCCGGUGGUUCUGAAUGGAAGGGCCAUCGCUCAACGGAUAAAAGGUACUCCGGGGAUAACAGGCUGAUACCGCCCAAGAGUUCAUAUCGACGGCGGUGUUUGGCACCUCGAUGUCGGCUCAUCACAUCCUGGGGCUGAAGUCGGUCCCAAGGGUAUGGCUGUUCGCCAUUUAAAGUGGUACGCGAGCUGGGUUUAGAACGUCGUGAGACAGUUCGGUCCCUAUCUGCCGUGGGCGUUGGAAGAUUGAAGGGGGCUGCUCCUAGUACGAGAGGACCGGAGUGGACGAACCUCUGGUGUUCGGGUUGUGUCGCCAGACGCAUUGCCCGGUAGCUAAGUUCGGAAUCGAUAACCGCUGAAAGCAUCUAAGCGGGAAGCGAGCCCUGAGAUGAGUCUUCCCUGAUACUUUAAGUAUCCUAAAGGGUUGUCGGAGACUACGACGUUGAUAGGUCAGGUGUGUAAGUGCUGUGAGGCAUUGAGCUAACUGAUACUAAUUGCCCGUGAGGCUUAACCAUACAACACCCAAGGGGUUU
Molecule: ribosomal RNA, 2916 nt
Filed under: Vibrio parahaemolyticus
Lineage: Bacteria; Pseudomonadati; Pseudomonadota; Gammaproteobacteria; Vibrionales; Vibrionaceae
Description: 23S ribosomal RNA
Source: RNAcentral